RNAcentral lists this long non-coding RNA (623 nucleotides) under Rattus norvegicus (Norway rat). RNAcentral describes it as "long non-coding RNA NONRATT009004". The record is from RNAcentral. Lineage: Eukaryota; Metazoa; Chordata; Mammalia; Rodentia; Muridae.
AGAUGCCAUGAAAGGCUGCUCCACGCCGUACUUAGCCCAAGAGCCUUUGUUUAAAGCAAGCUCCUGUCCUCAAGUCGGGGGAAAUCUCUCACAUCCAAGAGGUUAACAAGCCUUGUUCAGUCUUACUAAAAGGAUCGUCUUUGUCACAUGAGAGCUGGACGGAGCCAUCGCCCAUACCUUGUAGCCCAUCGCGCUGUUACCUGGAGCCAAGGAUGUUAGACCAAGAUGUUGCAUGAAUGAAGGACCUGAGUUGUUCUGUGUGCACAUAAAGGCAUCACAUUUGCCAAGGGACACUGUCAUCUCAUUGCCUCCAUCUUCCCGUGCCGUUUGCUUCCCUCUCUCCUCGUACUAAGCUGGAUCUGUGUCCUUUUCUUUUUAACGAGUUCAAGUGAAGGAAAACUUUAUUUGUCCCCCCUUCCUCUCUUUUUCUUAAAGCUUCUGCUAGAUGCACAGUUCACUGAAAAUUCAGUCAGUCACAAACUGGAAGAAUUGUAAAAGAAAAAAAAGUAUAUAUCACUAAGUACACACGUGGCUUCACAUCUAUUAAAUAAUAAAUUGGCAUGGAAGGAAGGUGUCAUUUCACCCGUGUAUCCACAGUCUUAAGCAAGCGCCCAUCUUCAUCU